UGGCUCAGUUGGUAGAGCAUGGUGUUUGCAAUGCCAGGGUUGUGGGCUCGAUUCCCAC
This 58-nucleotide transfer RNA is filed under the name Salmo trutta (river trout). It matches the Rfam family "tRNA", at positions 8 to 63 of the family's 71-position model. Rfam says of the family: Transfer RNA (tRNA) molecules are approximately 80 nucleotides in length. Their secondary structure includes four short double-helical elements and three loops (D, anti-codon, and T loops). The record is from Rfam by way of RNAcentral. Lineage: Eukaryota; Metazoa; Chordata; Actinopteri; Salmoniformes; Salmonidae.